UGAGUAACACGUGAGUAACCUGCCCUUGACUCUGGGAUAAGCGUUGGAAACGACGUCUAAUACCGGAUACGAGCUAGGACCGCAUGGUCACUAGCUGGAAAGAAUUUUGGUCAAGGAUGGACUCGCGGCCUAUCAGCUAGUUGGUGAGGUAACGGCCCACCAAGGCGACGACGGGUAGCCGGCCUGAGAGGGUGACCGGCCACACUGGGACCGAGACACGGCCCAGACUCCUACGGGAGGCAGCAGUGGGGAAUAUUGCACAAUGGGCGAAAGCCUGAUGCAGCAACGCCGCGUGAGGGACGACGGCCUUCGGGUUGUAAACCUCUUUUAGCAGGGAAGAAGCGAAAGUGACGGUACCUGCAGAAAAAGCACCGGCUAACUACGUGCCAGCAGCCGCGGUAAUACGUAGGGUGCAAGCGUUGUCCGGAAUUAUUGGGCGUAAAGAGCUCGUAGGCGGUUUGUCGCGUCUGCUGUGAAAAUCCGAGGCUCAACCUCGGACCUGCAGUGGGUACGGGCAAACUAGAGUGCGGUAGGGGAGAUUGGAAUUCCUGGUGUAGCGGUGGAAUG
Molecule: ribosomal RNA, 567 nt
Filed under: actinobacterium MS-F-13
Lineage: Bacteria; Bacillati; Actinomycetota; Actinomycetes
Description: bacterial SSU rRNA
Rfam family: Bacterial small subunit ribosomal RNA
Source: RNAcentral